GCCCUAAUAGCUUAAACCUUAAAGCAUUGGUCUUGUAAGCCAAAGCCGGAUAUUCCUUAGGACA
Molecule: transfer RNA, 64 nt
Filed under: Gloydius brevicauda (short-tailed mamushi)
Lineage: Eukaryota; Metazoa; Chordata; Lepidosauria; Squamata; Viperidae
Description: tRNA-Thr
Rfam family: tRNA
About the family: Transfer RNA (tRNA) molecules are approximately 80 nucleotides in length.
Source: RNAcentral